GAUGAACGCUAGCUACAGGCUUAACACAUGCAAGUCGAGGGGAAACGGCAUUAAGUGCUUGCACUUUUUGGACGUCGACCGGCGCACGGGUGAGUAACGCGUAUCCAACCUUCCCAUGACUAAGGGAUAACCUGCCGAAAGGCAGACUAAUACCUUAUGGUCUUCACUGACGGCAUCAGAUGUGAAGUAAAGAUUUAUCGGUUAUGGAUGGGGAUGCGUCUGAUUAGUUAGUGGCGGGGUAACGGCCCACCAAGGCAACGAUCAGUAGGGGUUCUGAGAGGAAGGUCCCCCACAUGGAACUGAGACACGGUCCAAACUCCUACGGGAGGCAGCAGUGAGGAAUAUUGGUCAAUGGGCGAGAGCCUGAACCAGCCAAGUAGCGUGCAGGACGACGGCCCUAUGGGUUGUAAACUGCUUUUGUAUGGGGAUAAAGUCAAUCACGUGUGAUUGUUUGCAGGUACCAUACGAAUAAGGACCGGCUAAUUCCGUGCCAGCAGCCGCGGUAAUACGGAAGGUCCGGGCGUUAUCCGGAUUUAUUGGGUUUAAAGGGAGCGUAGGCUGGAGAUUAAGUGUGUUGUGAAAUGUAGACGCUCAACGUCUGACUUGCAGCGCAUACUGGUUUCCUUGAGUACGCACAACGUUGGCGGAAUUCGUCGUGUAGCGGUGAAAUGCUUAGAUAUGACGAAGAACUCCGAUUGCGAAGGCAGCUGACGGGAGCGCAACUGACGCUGAAGCUCGAAGGUGCGGGUAUCGAACAGG
This 759-nucleotide ribosomal RNA is filed under the name Prevotella melaninogenica. Its description in RNAcentral is "bacterial SSU rRNA". It matches the Rfam family "Bacterial small subunit ribosomal RNA", at positions 28 to 776 of the family's 1533-position model. Lineage: Bacteria; Pseudomonadati; Bacteroidota; Bacteroidia; Bacteroidales; Prevotellaceae. The record is from RNAcentral.